UGGGGAAUUUUGGACAAUGGGGGCAACCCUGAUCCAGCCAUGCCGCGUGCGGGAAGAAGGCCUUCGGGUUGUAAACCGCUUUUGUCAGGGAAGAAAUCCUCUGGGUUAACACCUCGGGGGGAUGACGGUACCUGGAGAAUAAGCACCGGCUAACUACGUGCCAGCAGCCGCGGUAAUACGUAGGGUGCAAGCGUUAAUCGGAAUUACUGGGCGUAAAGCGUGCGCAGGCGGUUGUGCAAGACAGAUGUGAAAUCCCCGGGCUUAACCUGGGAACUGCAUUUGUGACUGCACGGCUGGAGUGCGGCAGAGGGGGAUGGAAUUCCGCGUGUAGCAGUGAAAUGCGUAGAUAUGCGGAGGCACACCGAUGGCGAAGGCAAUCCCCUGGGCCUGCACUGACGCUCA
RNAcentral lists this ribosomal RNA (402 nucleotides) under uncultured bacterium. Its description in RNAcentral is "bacterial SSU rRNA". It matches the Rfam family "Bacterial small subunit ribosomal RNA", at positions 355 to 749 of the family's 1533-position model. The record is from RNAcentral.